RNAcentral lists this non-coding RNA (194 nucleotides) under Bacillus sp. CECT 9360. The record is from RNAcentral. Lineage: Bacteria; Bacillati; Bacillota; Bacilli; Caryophanales; Bacillaceae.
UAAGAAACAAUCAAAAUGGGUGUUGGAUGAGUGUGAGAUACAUAUACAGCUUAAAAGGGAAGCCGUGAAAGUCCGGGUCGGUUCCCGCCACUUAAAUCGGAGUAGCAUUCAGGAGGUCACUGUUUUAUGAAACAGGAAGACGAAGGAUGCGAUGUUGAUGAGUCAGGAGACCUGCCUGUUUAUACAAGACAUGA